GCACCAAUAGCUCAGGGGUAGAGCGCGCGUUUAGUAAGCGCGAGGUCAGGAGUUCAAAUCUCCUUUGGUGCA
This 72-nucleotide transfer RNA is filed under the name Flavobacteriales bacterium. Its description in RNAcentral is "tRNA-Thr". It matches the Rfam family "tRNA". Rfam says of the family: Transfer RNA (tRNA) molecules are approximately 80 nucleotides in length. Lineage: Bacteria; Pseudomonadati; Bacteroidota; Flavobacteriia; Flavobacteriales. The record is from RNAcentral. RNAcentral also lists the same sequence under 1 other name.